Molecule: RNA transcript, 5528 nt
Organism: Dinoponera quadriceps
Lineage: Eukaryota; Metazoa; Arthropoda; Insecta; Hymenoptera; Formicidae
Gene: cta
Gene name: guanine nucleotide-binding protein subunit alpha homolog
Exons: 6
Source: RefSeq, a predicted model, not a curated record
CGUCCAUCUUUACAGCAGACCCACACUACUGAGAGGGACGCGGAAGCGGACGGCUAUAGUGUGUAGUGGGGAAGCGACGGACGGCGCGUUUUAUCACACUCGCUGUCGCGUUGCUCUGCGCCUUCCUCUGCCCCGUCGCCGACUACCAUGUAGUACAGCUCGGCAUCGCUCGCACCGACACGGCAGCCGUGGUCGCACGCGCGCGUUAACUCGUCUUCGAUCGUCGAUCGUCACCGUGAUCGCCAGCACGGGAGGUGUGUCGCGACACUCGUCAACGUGUGCAGCAACGACCGUGCCUCUCUUCGGCGCCAGCGAGAGAGAGAGAGAGACAACACACACACACACACACCAACGCGAGACGUAUCACGGCCGCUUGUCAGCGACCGCCGUGACACAGAAAACGCGGACGUCGUCGGCCGACGGUGAGGAGCGCCGCCCCGUAAUUACCGUGAUUAUUUAAUCAUGCCCAAUUCGCGGGAUACCAAAGGCGAUUGUGGCCAAACGGCAGCGUCGGCAGCAGCAGUAGCGAUAUUAUCAGCAUCAUCGGUGUUAACAGUGGCUGCGGCGUGAGCUUUCCACACAUCCUUCAUUCUUUCUCUCGUUCUCUCUUUCUACCGUAUCUCUGUCCCUCCUCCGAUAUUCCGAACCCCAUCGUCACGCGUGUAUAACGGUAUACGCGGUGUGUACAAGGCAGCUCGGAAAACGAGCGUGCGCGACGUCGUCGUCGCGACGGCUCGCACCGCUGGCGACACCGCUGGCGCGCAUUCCGCCGCCCGGCUACGCCUGGCCGAGAAAUGUGGUUCUGAAUCGGCGAUUCUCCUCCCGAUCGGCCGGUGAGCGCGCGGCAGGGCGGUUCGUUCGUCAUACAUACGUGCGUGCGCGCGUACGUACGCUUUCGCGGGCCGGGUGGGUGGCGGGCGAAGGGAAAGGGACUGCGAGCCGCGCCGAGUGCGGUUACUCCUGGUUACUCCGGUGUUCCGUUGAUUCGCAGUGUCGCGAGCGGGAUCGCACGUCGGUGCGGACACUCCAGUGCGCGAGGUGUGAGUGACGUCUCGGCGGAAGUAGCUGGAAGGGCGCGAAGAGGAGAAGGAAGGAAGCACGGAAGGAAGAGGAAGACGAGGAGGAGGGUAGCAGAACGACCGAGCGAGAGAGAGGGAGCGAGCAGGGUAGCAAGAUGGCGGGCUCCUUAACGUGGUCGUGUACUUGUUGCCUGCGCUUCAAGUUCAGCCCGGAGGAGAUCGAGCAGCGUUACAAAAGCCAGGAGAUCGACCGGAUGCUGGAGAAGGACCGGCAAGCGUUCCGCCGGCAGGUCAAGCUGCUGCUGCUCGGGGCAGGCGAGAGCGGCAAGUCGACAUUCCUCAAGCAGAUGCGGAUCAUUCACGGGAUCAAGUUCGAGCCUGAGUUGAUUAAGGAGUAUCAACAUGUGAUCUACCAGAACAUAAUUAAGGGGAUGAAGGUUUUGGUAGAUGCUCGGGACAAGCUAAAUAUUCCGUGGGAGAAUCCUAAGAAUUAUGAUAUUGGCUUUCAAUUACUCAAAUUCGAGAACACAAUGGUGUUGGACGCUAGAUUGUUUCUGCACUAUGUACCGGGGCUACAAAGCUUGUGGAAAGACGCAUCGAUUAGAAGAGCCUUCGAUAGGCGAAGAGAGUUCCAAUUAAGCGAUUCUGUCCAGUACUUCUUGGACAAUCUCGAUAGGAUUGCAAGAGUGGAGUACACGCCUACACAUCAGGAUAUCUUACACUGUAGGAAGGCGACAAAGGGGAUCUCUGAAUUCGUAAUACCAAUUAACAACAUCCCAUUCCUCUUUGUCGACGUCGGCGGCCAAAGGUCUCAGAGGCAAAAGUGGUACCAGUGUUUUGACUGUGUGACUUCCAUACUAUUCCUCGUUUCGUCAUCGGAAUUUGACCAGGUCUUGCUCGAAGAUAGGAGGACUAACAGACUGGAGGAGUCCAGGAAUAUAUUCGACACGAUUGUAAACAACAUGAUAUUCUGUGGUGUCUCCAUCAUCCUGUUCCUGAACAAAACCGACUUGCUCGACAAGAAAGUGAGGUCGCCGGAUACGAAUGUCCGUUGGUACUUUCCGCAGUUUACGGGUGAUCCACAUUCCAUGAAGGACGUGCAAAAUUUCAUACUCGACAUGUUCAUCUCGGUGAAGAGGGACCCGAGGAAGCCGCUGUUCCAUCACUUCACCACCGCGGUGGACACGGAGAACAUUAAAGUGGUCUUCAAUGCGGUGAAGGACACCAUUCUGCAUCGGAACUUGGAAUCCCUCAUGCUUCAAUAAUGCCGCGGAGACGGAGGAAUUGAACGCACACAUGAAGCAGCUAGUAACACAAAGAUCUACGUGAUCCCCCCGAUGCUUUUCCCAUGGUGUAAUGCGUAAGGUUAUCGCUGGUUGUUGAACCAGAACUUCACUGGUCUGUGGAAUAACUUAUUUCUUACUUAAGACGAAUUACCCUUUAACGCUGAAUAUAUUAAGUAACAAAGGGAAAAAACCAAAUAUACUAGAUUCAUGCCAUAUAAACCAAAUGAAACUAACCAGUUUGUGUUCAAAUUGCUGUGGGGGAAAAAAAGAAGGAAAAUUGUUCGCUCAUAUUUCUUCCUUUGAAGAGACGAUGCAAUAUUACUCAAAUCUUUAUAUCUUGCAUACCGUAUAUUAUUUCACCCCUCGAGAUUCGCUUUGUAAGGUGCUGUUGUCAUUCUCGCAGACUGAGGAUUAUGAUAAUCGUAUUGACUGAAAUCGUUUUCCUGUUAUACAAAAUUAAAUGUCAAUUGAGAUUUCAUGAAUGUUUCAUACAGUUUUUUUUUUAUACACGUAAUACGACAAUACAAUUUUCCUUGCGCCGAGUCGCUGAGAUAUAGGAUUAUAAUUAUGCAUUAGAAAAAUAUGCAAUGGCGAUUCGAAAUUUUAUGAUUGCAUCACGCAACACCACAUUUUAUUCGUCUGUCUUGUUAAUUUGAUAACUGAUCCUUUAUGGAAUAUACACUUAUACUUUCGAAGGAAAAUUCAAUUUUCACACGAAUGAUCAGUAUUAUUCCUUUUCCAUAUUGUGCGGAUUCAUGAAUUAAUUGCGUGAACUGAUUUUCUCGACGUUUCGUCACAAAAUAGCCAGAUUUUGCAACAGCAAUUUGUGUAAGCUACGUCUAAUUUAGCAUAUUAUAAAUAUGAUAUUGUGUUUACGUCUAUGUAUGCAUGUGUAAUCGAUUAAAAAAUUUUGUUAUCUUGUGCUUUGUCGGCUGACAAAACUGGCGCAAUUAGGACUGAACCACUGUAAUGUACCAAAAAAAUUAUGGAAGAAAAAGAAAAAAAGAGUAAGAAGUAUAUUUUGCGUAAAAAAGAAAUUUCUGUCUAACUGUUUCUAGCAAAUGAAAGUAACAAUCUUUUAUUGUAUGUAUACGCGCACAUAAAUCGUACCCCAAAGAUUUUAUGUAAUGAUGUUGGUUAAGCCAAAGAGUUUUAUGUAGAAUCCAGGAGUUUCUACAUACUUGAUAUCUGUUCUAUUAGUUUAUCUAACGAUGUGCAUCGCGCACCGAUAUACGCGUUGCACUGGACACUUUCUUGAAAAUAUAAUUGCGGUCAACGGUACAGUCACAAGCUAACGAAGUGUGUGUGCGUGUGUUUCGAUUCUCUGUAAUUAGAUCAUCUAUUACAUAAAAUCUUUGCUAUCUUUUAAUCGGCGAAAAAAAAAUUAGGAAGGAGAUAUAAGUUUACUAACCACGAGUAAAUUUAUAAAUAUGCACUUCCAUUAAUAUAUGAAAACAAUACUAAUGAUAAUACUAAGUUUAUAUAUAUAGCUUAUAUAUAUAUAGCUUAUACAUAUAGUUUAUAUAUAUAAGUUUAUAUAUAAAGCCUAAAAAUCCGAAUGAUUGAAAUUGAUACUUAAGCUUUUUACAUAUACCGCUCCACAUACGGCAUAUAUAGAUGAAUUUUUGAUAAUUGGUAUAUUUUAUAUAAGUGAAUUUGUUUACAUUCCUAUAAAGAUAAUCAGGUCCAAUUUAAUUGAACUAGCUUUUUAUAGCAUUUCCAAAUUUUAUAACAUUUUUAUACACCAUCAAUUGUUGUCUCGUACAUGCCUUGUUUUGAGAUGAAAUGCACAUUUUUAUACUGGUUAUACACAUUGUCUACAAUAUACAGGAUUAAUGUACUAAUGCUCAUUACAUGGAGAGAGAGAGAAAGAGAAAGAACGCCUAUGAUUUUUAUAUAUAAGAAAAAGAUUUAUAGAAGAUAUACUAUUGACACUCGUCGUGAUAACAAAUUAACAAAUAUGAUUCUAGUAAUAAUAAUACUUCUCGUACACGUGCCGUAAUACCGGCUUAAUAGAAAAUCCUCAAACAAUAAUUUGUUGCGAAUACCAAAACGAGAUGAGCACAUUACAUCGACACUACGUUUGUGCAUGCCAGUUCACAUUUUAUUUGCGAUAUCAUUUUAUUGGCUACAUGUUCAAUAUAGCGGACGUCGCGACGAAUGUAUCACGUAUGUAUUUUCUAUUAAGCUGCUGUAAAUGGAAGGAUACACACAUGUAACAGUAUAUAUCCAGACCGUAUACUUGAAAUUUUACUGUAAUAUAGACUGUGAGAAUGCGUAGUAACUAUGUGAUAUACAAUACGUUUUGGACAAGUUCAAGCAAUGAUUUUUAUAUUUUCGAAUUUCCAAAGUGAUUCUUUUGGUAUGUCCAAUUUAACUUUAAUAUGUUCCAACUCGUAAGAAGGUUGUAUGAAAAAGCAUUUAAACCAAAUGUUGUCGGAAACGGCAUCAUAUAUAUAUAUAUAUAUAUAUAAAUAUAUAUAUAUUUUUUAUUCACUCCUACAUUCGCAAACUGGAGAAAAGAGGAGAAUGUGAAUAUUUAUUUAUUCUUUCUCAUGCAAUAAACGAAGGAUAGUAGUAGGAUUGAGGGAACAGUGGAUUGUACAUGUUUGUAUAUACGUAGUUAAAAUUAUUAAUUUCAGUUAUUCUCUCCGAUUCUCAAGCGCUACUAUGAUUUCUGUGUAUAUAUAUACAUAUAUCUCUGGUAUAUUUUUUGUUUAAAGUUUAAUACUUGGAGAAAAUAGACCAAUUUAUUCAUGAAACAUUUGUGUUUUCUUAUUUUUUACGUUAACGUUGAUAAACUUGCGAUAAUGAAAUAUAUGCUUAUAACAUUGCUUGCAAAAUCGUCAUGCAGUCAGUAAUGCAAUACACAAAUUGCUUCUUUCUUUACCGAAUAUAUAGGAUGUCCUAAGACCGGAUAAUUUACGAAUCUCCUGAACGCUCGAGGGAAACCUCACACAUAAUUUUGAAUUCCAUUGUUGAAUAAUUUCUUAAUAUUAUUUAAUAUCUGUGUGACUGAACUUUUCAAAUAAAAUUUCUAUUAAAAAAAUAUCUUUUUAAAGUUAAAUCAAACUUAAGCUUCCGUUAUUCAUUUCUUUUGCAACUAAAUCACCAGGAAUUCUUAGAUACUUGCAAUCAUUCGACAAUUACAAGUGCCUCGACAUUUUUUUUGAGAAAAGACUACUCCAAAUUGCUCAAUGGAACAUCCUGUGUAUAUAUGUGU